Molecule: transfer RNA, 72 nt
Filed under: Oltmannsiellopsis viridis
Lineage: Eukaryota; Viridiplantae; Chlorophyta; Ulvophyceae; Oltmannsiellopsidales; Oltmannsiellopsidaceae
Description: tRNA-Cys
Rfam family: tRNA
About the family: Transfer RNA (tRNA) molecules are approximately 80 nucleotides in length. Their secondary structure includes four short double-helical elements and three loops (D, anti-codon, and T loops).
Source: RNAcentral
GGCGGUGUAGCCAAGUUGGUAAGGCGUGAAAUUGCAAAUUUCACAUCCUCAGUUCGAGUCUGAGCAUCGCCU